Long non-coding RNA from Gopherus agassizii (Agassiz's desert tortoise), 1911 nucleotides. Lineage: Eukaryota; Metazoa; Chordata; Testudines; Testudinidae. The record is from Ensembl.
CGCCCUUCGGGGUGACCCCGGCUCCCGAGCGCCCCGGCUGGGGGGAGACGGGGCCGCCGUGAUCCGGAGCGCCAGGACCCGCUGUUCUGCAGCUCUGGGCAGAGGUUACCAGUGAGAUGGUGAAGGUGCCGGGAUGUCCCAGGCUGCACCGGCCCUCGGGUUACCUCUCCACGGCUCUGUUCUUCGCGGCGCUCUACGGCUCUGCUGCUGUCCUCAGGAGCAAAGAUUGCCAGUUCCCGGACCCCUCCGAUCACACUACCUACAGGUGCAUGUCCCCGGUGUGCAAGCUGUCUCUGGGCAGCGGCGUGUUUAAGGCUGGCUCCAUGGUGCAGCAUUUCUGCGAAGCCGGCUACGUCCUGGCCGGCCACCCUGGGGUCUCUGUCUGCAAGGGCGGCCAGUGGAGCGUGCUGAAGCCGGUCGUCUGCAAGCCCCUGGCAGGAUCCCCGGUGCCUCGCCCUGGCUCUGUCAUCGCUGUCUCCUCCAUCCCCAUGGUGGCUGCGGCCUCGGUGACGGCGUCCGCCCUGCUGCUGGUGGCCAUGGUGUGUGUACUGGUGGGGCCGAAACCCUGUAGCUACUGGUGCUGGAGGUGGUACGAGCCCAUGGAGGAGUCCGAGGAGAGCACAGUCGACAGCUGCCCGGUGCCGCUCCCAUCCUACGAGGAGGCCGUCUAUGGUUCCCAGGGGGGGCCCGUGCCGCCCGCGCCCCCCAUGCCGACACCUCUCGUCCUCUCCAGGGGCCUGGCCCCCCCAUCGGAAGCAGCUGAGCCCUGUUGGAAUCCAGAGGCCGCCACUCCGCCCCCUUCCUACCAGGAGAGCCAAGCAGCAGCUGCGGGCGGCUCCGGCCUGGCCCGGCCCACAGUGCCCCCUACCCGGUUCCUAUUCCCUGGGGCUGCAAAGGACCUGUACAGGUAGCCGGGGGGGCCGGGGGUCCCCUGGCAGGGUCUCGACACUACAGCAGGGACUCCUCAUUUGAAGCACACGCAGCCUGCUCCAUCUUUUAACUUGCUGGGGGGAGAGGACACCCUGCCCCCCCCCAGUUACUCAGCAACUUGUGAAGCUGAUGGGACCAAAGCAGCCCCCUUCGGAGGGGCAUCAGCAGCCUUCUGCCUGGAUGGGGACCCCUCCCCCCCGCAAGGUAACGGCUCUGUCUUCGGGGCAGCCCCGAGGGGCCGAUCUUUGCCAGCUGGCUGGUUAGCCGCCAGCUCAGCGUGUUCUGACCACCCUGCACUGCCAUCCCUGUGGGAUCCCAAUUUUCCCUGCCCCCUACUCCUCCCACCAGGGUGUCAGUUCCCAGCAGAGCCGUCACGGGUUAACUCAGGGUACAGCUGCCACCUUCCUCCAGCUGUGAGGAUCUGGGGGCGGUGAGGGGCAGAUUUCUCCCUCCCCCCCCGACUUCCUAAUGCUCUGGCGAACAUCCCCUGGGCUUGUUCCAUUUUUGGGGGGCUUCUCUCCCCUUGUGUGUGUUGAUUAAAAUGACCCAGGCUGCUUUAUCUCUGGGCCAUACUGAUGCCCCCCCAGGCUGCAGGUGCUGCUCUGUGGCACUGGGGCUGGCUGGCAGGGGCCGUUGCACCUGCAUCCCAGCAGGGGGUGCCGUGGGUGUGGUUUAAAUAGCUGCACCCCGCCUCCCUAGCGCUCCCGUGGGUGGGUGGCUCUUGUCUCCUUCCCACUCCCAUCACCCAGACUCCCUGGCUUGGCUACAGGGGGUGAGCUGGCACCCCUGGCAGGGGGAGCAGAGUGCAGGGGAAAGUGGGUGCAGGUUUGAAUCCCGGCUGGCCCCCGGGCCCAUCCCGCACAACAACCAUUGCGUCUGCGGGCGGGUGCUGGGCAGGGGCGAAUCUUGGGCUAUUCCUCAACAGUUGAGCCCGUGUGGCCGGAAGUGGCCAGUGGCCCAGGGGCCAGGUAGCCCCACGAA